This 322-nucleotide ribosomal RNA is filed under the name uncultured eukaryote. Its description in RNAcentral is "partial 18S ribosomal RNA". It matches the Rfam family "Eukaryotic small subunit ribosomal RNA", at positions 1470 to 1796 of the family's 1831-position model. The record is from RNAcentral.
CCCUUAGAUGUUCUGGGCCGCACGCGUGCUACACUGAGUGGAUCAGCGGGUCAGGUUGCGCGAAAGUGUUUCCUAAUCUUUAAAUCCGCUCGUGAUGGGGAUUGACGGUUGCAAUUUUCCGUCAUGAACGAGGAAUACCUUGUAAGCGCGGGUCAUCAUCCCGCGCUGAAUACGUCCCUGCCCUUUGUACGCACCGCCCGUCGCUCCUAUCGAUUGAGUGGUCCGGUGAGGCUUUGGGAUCUGAGCGGAAAGAGCGUUUCGCUGUUUCUGCCCGGAAAACUCAGUCGAACCUUAUCAUUUAGAGGAAGGAGAAGUCGUAACA